RNAcentral lists this transfer-messenger RNA (385 nucleotides) under Sphingomonadaceae bacterium. The stretch from base 1 to 346 matches the Rfam family "Alphaproteobacteria transfer-messenger RNA". Rfam says of the family: Bacterial tmRNA, also known as 10Sa RNA or SsrA, is named for its dual tRNA and mRNA-like properties. Its role is to liberate the mRNA from a stalled ribosome. Lineage: Bacteria; Pseudomonadati; Pseudomonadota; Alphaproteobacteria; Sphingomonadales; Sphingomonadaceae. The record is from RNAcentral. RNAcentral also lists the same sequence under 1 other name.
GCACUUAACAUUCAGGAAUUCGCCCCUAUAUUGGAAAGUGCCGGGUUCGCCCGGCUAUGGCGAUAAAUGAUGCCGUGCAAUAGAUGCAGCGGACCCGGGGGCGGUACCCGGCGGCUCCACCACUUGUCCCGGCGAAGGCCAGGAUCAUUGACGGGGCCGAACUAGGAUCGACGUGUGUUGAAAAGCGGUGUUUUUGCCCGGCAUGAAUAAGCCGUGAAAUGGUUCAAUCUCAUAAGUGCCAACGAUAACGAAGCACUUGCUAUUGCUGCUUAACCCAAGGGCCUCGCGGCCCUAGGUUAACCAACAUAACGCGGUCGGGCUGAACCGGGCAACAGAAUCAGACACCAGCGGCCCGGGAGGCGCCGGGCAACAGAAGCCUCCCACC